CAACAGCUUCUGCAACAGUGAGGAAAAUCUUGUCCUCUCCAAUUAUGUUAGCAAAAUUUGAUGUGUAAAGUUUGUCUGUCACUGCUGAACCAGGAUUUGCCAGAACAAGCUGCUCAAACAAGUAACAAACUCUUGGAUCAAUCUCAUUACUAAGCAAUGUCCCCAACAAGAGAGAAACCACUGCCACUGGUCCUAUUGCUAUAUCGCGAGAACUACCCAUGAAAGCAUAAAUCAAUGGUGGAACAAAGCUUGAAUCUGUAAAAGGGUAAACAAAAAGUAACAAAAUUUCAGUUCAACAUCCAAAAAUCUAUAAAAUAAAAAAUAACUUGGGAUACAAGAGUCUUACACAGUCCAUACUGUGGAGCCAAAUGUGCAAGCUUGGAAUAUCCAAUAUCCUAUUUUUCAAACCAAGUAUUAGAACAUCAAACAUGUAACAAAUAAUCAUAUGAAUUAUAAUUUUGUAUUAGUAUCAUAAAUUAAAUUUACCUGAGGUAUGCAAAGACUUGCAAUAGUGAGACCAGCUAUAAUAUCUCCCCUAAAUUUUUUAAGAUUAUAACUUCUCCCCCAAUUAAGUAUAGGAAAUAUGAACUCAAUACCAAGGAGUAACUUUCUUGAUUUAGUUUGGUCUUUGAAAGAUCUUAGAGGAU
This is a long non-coding RNA of Trifolium pratense (red clover), 647 nucleotides long. RefSeq lists it as uncharacterized. Lineage: Eukaryota; Viridiplantae; Streptophyta; Magnoliopsida; Fabales; Fabaceae. The record is from RefSeq and is a predicted model, not a curated record. The transcript has 2 exons.